UUGCUUCACUGGCACAUAUACAAAAGUUAGAAUGUUACAAAGAUUAGCAAGGCCCCUGUGGAAGAAUGACAUGCAAAUUCGCAAAGUAUUCCAUAUAAGG
RNAcentral lists this small nuclear RNA (100 nucleotides) under Suricata suricatta (meerkat). The record is from RNAcentral. Lineage: Eukaryota; Metazoa; Chordata; Mammalia; Carnivora; Herpestidae.